Molecule: long non-coding RNA, 1263 nt
Filed under: Fragaria vesca (wild strawberry)
Lineage: Eukaryota; Viridiplantae; Streptophyta; Magnoliopsida; Rosales; Rosaceae
Description: long non-coding RNA (FVES_LNC002234)
Source: RNAcentral
CCGAAACUAUCAUAGCUUCUCUUCCUCUGCGAAUCUACGACCAUCUCAUCAUCGUACCUGCUCCAUUAAAUUUCCAGUGAUCGUUUUCGACGGCCUCCGACUGUCUUCCACCGUCGCUGAUCUCGUGGAAUUGUUUUUCGGGUAAGCUUUCUUCAGAGCUAACUCAUGUUUGUGGUUUUUGAUUUGUAGCUAUAUGAGAUUCAACUUUAGUCCUACGCAAUGAAUCUUUCUCUCAAAUUUGAUGUUGUAUUGUGAAAUUUAAUUCAUGGGUAAUAUGAAUAUUUGAAUAAUUCGAUUUGUGUUCUAUUGUUUACAGAUCUGGGCUCAUGGCAUCACGUAUUCGUUUAUCUUCUGGUGAGCUCUCUUUCUCAAUUGUUGUUAUGGAUGACAUAUUUGUUUGGUUUAUGAUAUCUAGAGAAAAAAGUAGAAGAAUCGGUUCUUCUUUGGUUUUUGUCUUUAACUUGAAUUUUUUGAAUGGCUGGAAGUGUAAACGUACAAGUUGAUAAGAAAUCUUUUGCUUAUGACAAUUGGUGUAUAUCGAAUAACUAAGUAGUAUAAAGAGAAAAGUGGGUUUAUAAGCUGUUUUUUGGUUACAAGCAGUUGGCUCACCAGAGCUAUAGCCUUUGUUUAAUCAUAUGAUCAAAGUGUUAUUUGUAUGGAUUAGCGCUUCAUUUGUGUUCACUUUGAUAGGCAUAUAUAAGUCUGACGCUUAUUUUGGUUGUUUAUAAUGAUGUAUCUGUUGGAUGCAGGGUUUGGUGCGCUCCUACUGCAAAUGAUGGUGUAACUAAUGAUGUACUUUCUGGUAAUUCUCUCUCUCAAACUAUACGUGUGUGUGUGUGUAUAUAUCAUCAGAGAGGAUGUAGAGCGGACGUCCGCACUCGGCUUAAAGUGCGGACGUCCGUCCGUUCUCCACCCUUCGGCGCCGGCGACGGCGCGCCUCCACCCCAGAAGACUCCAGCAGCAUCCCUGACCACUUUCCCUCCUCGCCGGAAAACUGGAAAAGAAUUGAAGCUGUUAAAGUUAAACAUUUAUACGACAAACUGAAUCAAAGCAUUGAAGAUUCUAAUGUCUGAUUAUGUUGAGCUUUUCCACGCUCUUGAUAAAGAGGAAGAAAAGAUGGAGUUCAUUACUCAGCUUAUUUCUUAGUUCAUCACCCAAUUUUUUGUCUUACUAUUGGUUUUUGUCUUGAACUCUGCUGAUCAGUACAUCUGUAGUUUGCUUUGGUCUACUUUGAUUUACUAGAGUAAAUUUUGUACUUGAUUU